Molecule: non-coding RNA, 73 nt
Organism: Bos taurus (domestic cattle)
Lineage: Eukaryota; Metazoa; Chordata; Mammalia; Artiodactyla; Bovidae
Source: Rfam
UUCCUCAUAGCUCAGUCGGUAAAGAAUCUGCCCGCAAUGCAGGAGACCUAGGUUCAAUUCCUGGGUCGGGGAA